RNAcentral lists this long non-coding RNA (3982 nucleotides) under Capsicum annuum. RNAcentral's name for it is "long non-coding RNA (CANN_LNC017035)". The record is from RNAcentral. Lineage: Eukaryota; Viridiplantae; Streptophyta; Magnoliopsida; Solanales; Solanaceae.
UUUGAACCUAUUACAUUGCAUUAAAGGAUCAAUGAAUGAAUAUGAUUUUGGAAUGGCUUUGGUGGCCAUGGAUUGGAUUUUAAAUGAAACUUGGGAGUCAAUUUUGUUAUAUGGAUUGGUUUGGCAUGAUUAUAUAAGCUUGCAAGCAUAUUGGUAUGAAGAUGCCAUAUUGGAAAUGCCUUAAUGAAUGACACUUGGGUUAAUAGUUGAUUAGUACAAUUAUUAUUUUAAUUUGGGCUUAAAGGGAAUUGAGUAGCUCAGCGUGAAGGUGAAGGUCUCCGGGGGGUCAACACUGAAAAUCAUGUUUGCUGGCAUUGGGGUUCCAUGUGAUUGUGUGCUUGGUGCACAUAUUAUGUGUGUGUGUGUGUGUAUAGAUAUGUGUGUGUGUAUUGAGAGGUGUAUGACCUUUGUGUCUUUAGUAUUUCCUCGAUUUUUCCUUGAUUCAUACGGCUAACACGUGUUAGGGGCCUUUCGGUAAGGGGGCUGGACCCAUAUAGCCCAUGGGUGACUUUAGGACAGAGCGAGUUACACAUUUCAGGUUAAUGGUUUAAGCUCUCAUGUUCAUGACCCUUGUUCUUAUCCCGGAAUCCUAUAUAUAUGUAUGGUGCAUGUCGUACCCCAUUUUAACACAGGUCAAACCGAGGUAUAACAUAUUGGAAACCUCUUAAUUAUAUUUUAGGAAGUCGCCACCUGAUUAGUUCUACGGUAAAUUAGGACACCUAUUAUAAACCAUGUGAUUAAAAGAAAAUAAAGACUUCAUUUUAAGGUCUACUUAUCCUACGUGAUUCUAGGUAAGAAUUCUAAUUAUCCUAAAGGGAAGGGACUAGGCACCCUAAAGGAUCCGUUAAAUUACGGUUAUCCGAUCAAACUUAGGUUAGAUAAAGCAAUCGAUAUUAAAAUAAGGAAGAUAUAAGUGAGGUAUUAUAUAUCCUUUAAAAAGGAUCUAUGUUAAUCAUUUGUAUGACAGAUUUAAAAUACUAGAAAUUCACUCGCUUGCAAAAUAAAGAUGGCCUUUAUAGUCCUUAAAAAUGACGCAAAACUUUAUUGUUAUUAAAAGGAAGUAAUUUUAAAUCAUUUUGUAGAAAAGAUUUACAAAGGUUCCUAACUAAUAGUUUAAACAAAAGGUUAGUCAUGUUAUAAAAGUCGCACAUUUUAAUUCUAAAAAAAAUCUUUUACCUUCCUUUAUUAAUUUUUAUAAAAUAAAUGUAAGCACAAAAUUAGCCACACCAUACAAAAUAGAUUAUUGAAAGAUAGCAUUGAAGAUAUACAAUUACUUAAAUCUACUAGUGACUUGGGAUUUUAUUCUUUUAUCAAGAAAAGACAUAUUUUCCAAAAAAGAAGUUUAUGCCAUUAGAAAAACCUAAGAAUGCCUCGUGAAUUCAAAUUGACAUAGUUGCCAUCUUUUAUGUGAAACAAAGUUAAUUGCUAUAUCCAAAAUAAGGAAAGCCGGAUAUCAAGUUUAACGGUAAUAAAUGUUCCUACCACCAAAACCUAUAUUUGAUUAAAUCAAAAUUACUAAUUAAUUAAGACUAACUUUGAUUCUAAAGAUAAAGUUGUUACUCUAUAUUAAGCCGUUAAAGGGUUCUAAAAACUCGACCAAUAAUUCAAAAGGGCACAUCUUUUGCCUAUCAAAUUUUAAUCUUUAACUAUAUUAAUCAUACACCUAAGCUAAGCAACAAGUUUAAGAUUACUAUCUAAUCAAAGGGUGGGGAAGAUACUACAUAAAUUUAUCAUCCAUCUCUAUAAGCUUAGACUAAUUCAAACAUAAGCAAUCAGAACAUCAAUUCUAAACGACAAUGUGCGGAAAAGCAAAGUAAUGAAAGAUAAUAUGACAUGUGCAUACAAAAAGAAACAAAGCUUGAAGGAAAGGAGGAGGCUUUUGUUAGCAGAUUUGGCUUGAGAGUAUAGAACGUGACUCCUUGUUCGGAUGAGGGGUAGCGUCGUCUCAUUUGAAACUUCAUUUAACUAGAGUCUUGAAUUAAGACUCCAUUUGCUCCGAGUGUACAUGUAAAGAAACAGAAAACAAAGAAUAAGUAAUACAGGUAGUUAUAUAUUGCAGGCAUACAAGAAAGAACAUAUUGGAACUUCAAAAUGCACAUAUAAAGGGAAAAGGAAAAAAAAUACGCGAACUUAUACAAGAAACCAAGAGGUACUUAGAUUAUUUCCUACUUUAUAAUAAUGAACAAAGAACACAAGACUUGACAAGUAUCUUUACCAAAUGACAUAUUUAAAGCUAGUCCCAAACAGGUAGAUAACAAGCAAAAUCAAAAUGUAUACAACUCGUAUGUUAAGGCUUGCGAUUAAUAUUUAAGCAUCUGCGAGUUGGUAAGGAAUUGCCCGGAAUCAAGUAUUCACGAUGGCGAAAUAGUUUAACAAAUGGGUGACCUAUGUUAUGAUUUGUUUUGCACGCCCAACAAAUGUUUCACGCCAUUUUUAGAAUGCCUAACUAUGGAUUCUAUAGCAAGCCGACUAUUCUUUGCGAAAAGAAAACGACAACACCUGACCGGAGAGCAUUUUAUCACAUUCAAAACAUUGGUACUUCCUAGCAGUUGCGCAUUACGACUAAAAAAACAUAAUGGCUUAGUUCAUUAUCACUACUACUGAUCCAAACGUGAAACAGAACAUUGAUCACGAGACAAGUAAAGACCUCCAUGUCCAAAUGCACUCUCUAACACGGGACGAAAGAUGUUAAAAUAUAUAGAAUGGGGGGCUUCUUUCUUGAUAAAUAUUACAAUACAUGACUGAAGGAUAACAUUUCAAACUUGUUUUAUCAAUAACUGAACAGAAACUAGGCAAGCAGUUAUUUCUUAUGUAUCUAGGAUCCAAGUGGUAAUUGCUACAGGCACAUGAUGCAAAAGGGGUGAUAGCUCAUGGUUUCUAAUAGAAAUAGAGAGUAAGAUGAUAACUUGAAAUUUUUUUUAAAGCAUUAAGAUUCGACAAUAUUGAGCCUAGUGACGUGGCAGUUGGUUAGGAGGUUACAACUAACUUAAUGUAUGAUUAGAGGCAGCUUAAUCACUAGUUAGUUAGUAGAAUAGGCAGCUAGGAUAUUUUCACUAUAUAUAUUCAGCAUUUCUGUAUGUGUAGUGGUUCAGUUUUUCCUUUUGAUGUAUUCAACCAUAUUUUCUUCAAUAAGAGUGGAAUAGUUUCUCUUCCUUCCUUGAUUGAAAUCCAAGCUUAUUCAGCUCUAAAUCCAUGGCUUCUCUCAUGGUUGCUGAACUUUACAUACAAUAGCUAUUGUGGCUACCAUAGUGUCUUUAGAAUAUUAAAGGAAAAAGGUGUGAUUAACGAGAUUUGCAAUUGACCUAGCAGCAAAAUACUCAUGAAAUCGAAACAAAUUAAUAGUAAGGUUACUGACCUAGCGUGGAUCAGGGAACUAGGUAUUUCGAUUUCAAAUCUACACUCGAACUUACUUGAAUCACACCGGAAAGAAAACUGGAACCAAGAGAUAUAUAAAAAGAGGCAAAAAGGGAUCUUUGUGAGAGAGAAUUUUACUCUGUAUAUAACUUCCAACUUUGAUGGCUAAGCAAAACAAAAUUUUUGAGAGAUGUGGCCGCUCUACCCCAAAAAAAACCUGCUCCAAAUGGAUAAAAAUGUGAAUAUUUAUAGAGAGAAAAUUAGGGCUUCAAGUUUGGGCGGGAUCUUGAGCUUUUGAUUUCGAAUUCUAAUCAAACAUAACCGUUUGGAGUUGGAAGUUAUCCGCUUGGACGGAUUUGGUCCUUCACGUGAUUGAUAUGGUCAUAACACGAAAAUGGAGUAACAUUUUCUUCCAUGGUUGAUGAAGCAUUGUUGCUUUACCGAAGUUGGGAGAGUGAGAAGUGGAAAAGCAAAAAGGAGCGGCGCUUUUGGGAGGGGAAAAAUUUUCUCUUUUUCUUUUACUUUUUGGGCGAUUUUUCAGGGUUCUAAGGAUAUUUUAGGUAUUAUGGGUAGAUUAAGUGAGGGUAAAGUGGGCAUUUCAUGGUAAAAGAGAUCUAGGGUUUUAAAU